AAGAACGAUGUUAUAAAUAUUGAUGUCAUUGGAUUUGUUGCACGUGUUCACUUGCAUAUCAGCGGACAUUUACAUGAGAAACUUAGAAAUGGACUCUGGGAAAUGCAUAUUUGAACAGUGUAUACUUUAUUUCUUUUAGUUUUCACGGUGUCUGCUGAAAAGAGAGAGAGACAGAAAGACAAAUAAACAGCAAAAAAGACCUCUGUAUGAAGCGUGGUUAUUAUUUCAUUAGACCAUUGCAGCUACAGUGAAAACGUACCGUGACAGCUUCCAUUGUGGCACGGUACCGGUCGGAUAAGAAGAGAAAACAAGACCGCAUCGGAAAGAAGGAGGAAACACGAUCGCGUGGGUAGAGAAGGCGUCAGAGAAGAGGCUUGCCGUUUCAUAGCUGUCACAGCCGAGGAAAGUACUGCGACCCGAUUUGUAGAGGCGGACAUUAGCCGUGUAGGCUACCGCCUUGCAAGUAUCCUUUCUACAGGCUUCAGAGUACACUGUUUGUUAAUCCCAACGUUACUUCAAGCUGAAGAGUCCUGCUCUGCAAUUAACAGCAGGUUUUGAAAGCAUGCCUCCUGCUUGUGAGACCACACCCACUCGUUCUUUUGUUCUAGCAGACAUCUGAGUGGAGCAGAACGUGUUGAUAGCUGGGGAAUGAAUUUGGCCAGAUUGGACUGUCCUGUUAGCUCCAGAACCUGCUUCAGUCAUGCAUCAUGUUCCUGCUGGUUGGAUCCCCACACAAGUGAGGAUUCAUUCAAGCUGCACUCUGUGGACUUGGAGAAGCAGAUCUGCGACCUAUAGGUGAAGCUAGCUCAGCUGUGACAGCGGAAAGCCUCGCUGGAAUCAUCCUGGACUGACGCUUACCUGUCCCAGGUAAAUCCGCAGCAUGAAACAAACACUCCCACAACCUCAACUCCGUGUUCUUCUCUGCCCAGGCCCAGCGCACCAAGGACGCGGCCCACCCAGGUUUCGUUCACUCCGGUGCCGGGGUACCAUGCAGCCUGGAUGCAGCAGCAGCGGAAGACAUGAGCCAAGCCCCGGGCGAGGACCUCUCCCCCUCCGCUACCACCAGUUUUCGAGAUCUCGACCCGCAAACCCUUCGCUCCCCUCCGUGAGCCGGAGUGCGACGCGGUGAUCAUAGGAGACUCCAUUGUCCGGCACGUCCGUGCAACCGAGGCUAAAGGUAAGGUGCGCACUCGCUGUUUUCCUGGUGCUUGUGUUGUUGAUGUUGCUGCACAGGUACCCGUGAUCCUGAAUAAGAACAUCGGAGCUGUGGUUCUCCAUGCUGGCGCGAACGACAUCAGGCUGAGGCAGACGGAGAUCCUGAAGAAGGACUUCAGGAGCCUGGUGGAGAAGGUUCACACCACAUCGCCCACGAUGAGGAUCAUCAUGUCAGGACCACUUCCCACAUUCCAGCGAGGAAUCGAGAGCGUCCUAGGCUCUACCGUUCUGAUGGCCUGCACCCAAGCAGAGUUGGAGCAGCAGUCGUCUGGGACAACAUCUCCAGGACACUAUGCACCAUCUGAUGGGUAAGUCAUACCUUAGAUUACAAUUAAAAUAGCUACUGUUCAACUCACCAGAUUGAUACAAAUGCACACACAGCUCGUCCUAUAGAAACUGUGUCUGUUCCCCGAAUAGUGAGCUCAAUGGAUAUAUUCAUUAAUAGCUUUCGAAAUAAUCUAAUCACAAUUAAACCUGACAAAGGCCAAAUAAGUAAAGAAAAACAAUUUCUAAAGUUUUGGCUUCUCAACAUUAGAUCCCUUGCACCGAAAGCAAUUACUGUCAAAGAAAUGAUCUCAGAUUAUAGUUUCGAUACACUCUGUCUCACGGAAACCUGGCUUAGACCAAAUGAAUACAUUGGUCUGAAUGAGUCUACUCCAUCAGGAUAUUCCUAUAAGCAUGAGCCCCCUCAGACUGGUCAUGGUGGUUGCAACCAUCUAUAACAAUUCUCUUACCGUUACUCAGAAAAUAGGACCCAGGUUUAGCUCAUUUGAAGUGCUUAUCCUUAAUGUUGCACUCACUGACAUACAUAAAAAAUCCCUACUAUAUCUUGCUCUGCCCACCGUAUAUAGACCCCAGGGGCCCUACACUGAUUUUCUUAGAGUUUGCACACUUACUCUCAGAUCUUUUGAUCAGUUUUGACAAAGUGUUAAUUGUAUGAGACUUUAACAUUUAUGUAGACGAUGCUAAUGAUGCUUUAGGACUCACAUUUAUAGAUUUACUAAAUUCUUUUGGGGUUAAACAAACAUUAAUAGACCAACGGGCACAAAGAGCUAUUUAAACUCAUCACCACGGCUAAAUCAACAACGUAUUUGUUAGAUCCAAUUCCAACUAUAUUGCUGAAAGAAGUAAUACAUGCAGCUGGAGAGCCUCUUCUCAAUAUUAUUAAUUCCUCGUUAUAUCUAGGUCAUG
Hemibagrus wyckioides is the source of this 2406-nucleotide long non-coding RNA. RefSeq lists it as uncharacterized. The transcript has 5 exons. The record is from RefSeq and is a predicted model, not a curated record. Lineage: Eukaryota; Metazoa; Chordata; Actinopteri; Siluriformes; Bagridae.